GAGAGUUUGAUAUGGCUCAGGAUAAACGCUGGCGGUGUACAUAAGACAUGCAAGUCGAACGGGAGAAGACAGGAAGAUUUAUCUACUUGUUGGACACCGUGGCGGACGGGUGAGUAACACGUAAGCAACCUGCCUAUAAGAGGGGAAUAACAGUGAGAAAUUACUGAUAAUACCGCAUAAGCUGAAGGUAUCGCAUGAUACAUUCAGAAAAGAUUUAUCGCUUAUAGAUGGGCUUGCGUCUGAUUAGCUAGUUGGUGAGAUAACAGCUCACCAAGGCGACGAUCAGUAGCCGGAUUGAGAGGUUGAACGGCCACAUUGGGACUGAGACACGGCCCAGACCCCUACGGGAGGCAGCAGUCGGGAAUAUUGCACAAUGGAGGAAACUCUGAUGCAGUGACACCGCGUAUAGGAAGAAGGUCUUAGGAUUGUAAGCUAUUGUCGUGUGAGAAGAAAAUGACCAUCACAGGAGGAAGCCCUGGCUAAAUAUGUGCCAGCAGCCGCGGUAGUACAUAUGGGGCGAGCGUUAUCCGGAUUUAUUGGGUGUAAAGGGUGCGUAGGCGGGAAAAUAAGUCAGUAUGUGAAAUCCCUCGGCUCAACUGAGGAACUGCAACUGAAACUAUUUUUCUUGAGUGUUGAAGGGGAAAGUGGAAUUCCUAGUGUAGCGGUGAAAUGCGUAGAGAUUAGG
RNAcentral lists this ribosomal RNA (685 nucleotides) under uncultured bacterium. RNAcentral's name for it is "bacterial SSU rRNA". It matches the Rfam family "Bacterial small subunit ribosomal RNA", at positions 8 to 701 of the family's 1533-position model. The record is from RNAcentral.